GCGGGAGUAGCUCAGCGGUAGAGCAUCUGCCUUCCAAGCAGAGGGUCGCCGGUUCGAACCCGGUCUCCCGCUCCA
This 75-nucleotide transfer RNA is filed under the name Pseudomonadota bacterium. Its description in RNAcentral is "tRNA-Gly". It matches the Rfam family "tRNA". Rfam says of the family: Transfer RNA (tRNA) molecules are approximately 80 nucleotides in length. The record is from RNAcentral. Lineage: Bacteria; Pseudomonadati; Pseudomonadota. RNAcentral also lists the same sequence under 2 other names.